Long non-coding RNA from Esox lucius (northern pike), 1326 nucleotides. The record is from Ensembl. Lineage: Eukaryota; Metazoa; Chordata; Actinopteri; Esociformes; Esocidae.
UUUCAGAAUUGACAGGAGUUGAAGUGGAAUUAAUCUAAAUACAAGAUUGUCUGCAUUGUUUAGUACUGAUCUGCAGAAAACCUUACCAUUCUUUCAUACUUUUUGGAACAAGAAAAUAAUCAGUUGAAAAGUUAUAUUGCAAGUAGCAACAAAACUGAUUAGCUGCAAAUAGGCACAGAAAACAGGUCAAGUGGAAGAAGACAAAACGAUGGAUGAAAGAGAAUAUUUUAAAUAGGUGGAAACUCUGAACAUCCCUAAACCUAAAAAGCCAAUCAAUCAAGCUAAUCUGUUCUGCCCAAUAGAUCCCUUAUGAACGAUCUAAUUCACAACAUCCUCCCAACAUGUUGUGCAAUCGAUGUUCAUUUGCAUGAGUGCAACUAGCGAGGGGGCAGUGUUGGAAAAAAACAACAGCACUAAAGCUGUGCUCCAGAUGCGCUACACACACACACACACACUACAGCUGUACUAACACUGCUCUAAGCAACAGGGCAGCUUGUCAUUAACGCCAAGCACCAUUCCGGAUGCGCUCCGCCAGCCCCGUUCCUCCAGCCCUGUUCCUGCCCCUCCACCCCCAGCAGAGUCUGCAUCCCAUCAUCCCUCUUCAAACUUCCACAAAUUCAUCAGCUCAGUUAUGAGGCCUGUAGCGCAAGUGCCACAUUCCAGGGACAUGAUGCGAAACAGAGAAUUUGUUCGGAUCUGGAAUCUAUUGAGUGUGUGUAUGUGUCUGUAGCCCCUAAUGUCCCAGCGUAUCCCCAGAGACGGGGCUGUGCGUGUGUGCCUGUGGCCUUGUAUAUCCUCGAAAAAGCCUGCUAAGUAUUGAAAAUACGUAACAUUUGGAAAAACAAAGGAAUUUCAGGUAUUUGCUGUGAAUGGGUACUAAGUUAAGGGGCUUUGAGUCUCUCUGGAGGUGCUCUGUUGGGAGAAACUAAAAGACGGAUCAACAACGCUUUUACUCCACAGUGUAUAAGGAAACAUUAUUCAUGAACUUUUAUUUAGUCAGGGAGCUCAACUGAGGCCAGGGUCUCACUUACAAUGGUGCAUUGAACCUCCAAGGCAUGUGAGUGUAGUAAAAAGUGUACGAGCAUCUGGCAAGACGCAAAUAGUAUAUGUCAUAUAUAUCAUUGUUUCUGUACAUCAAAUGUCAGCAAAGAAUAUUUGUUCAGGUCAACGAGACAAACAGAUGUACUCCCUGAGCUCAUAAUAAUAUAUGGUUAUUAAAAGAUAUAAAAAUGUAUCUUGUUGUAAAAUACCAUGCUAAAAUAGCAUACCAUCCAUCCUUAAGAACACCAAUGUUUAAAGAAAGAUAUAAAGCCAAAUACUGUCGCC